Molecule: transfer RNA, 71 nt
Filed under: Marmota marmota marmota (Alpine marmot)
Lineage: Eukaryota; Metazoa; Chordata; Mammalia; Rodentia; Sciuridae
Also listed under: 1 other name
Rfam family: tRNA
About the family: Transfer RNA (tRNA) molecules are approximately 80 nucleotides in length. Their secondary structure includes four short double-helical elements and three loops (D, anti-codon, and T loops).
Source: Rfam by way of RNAcentral
GGGGUUGUGGCUCAGUGGUAGAGCGCUUGCCUAGCAUGCAUGAGGCACUAGGUUCAAUCCCUGCCACCCUA